UCUCCCUGAGACUUAGAGUCUCCUGAAGGAACGUUGAAGACGACGACGUUGAUAGGCCGGGUGUGUAAGCGCAGCGAUGCGUUGAGCUAACCGGUACUAAUGAACCGUGAGGCUUAACCUUACAACGCCGAAG
This 133-nucleotide ribosomal RNA is filed under the name Salmonella enterica. RNAcentral's name for it is "partial 23S ribosomal RNA". It matches the Rfam family "Bacterial large subunit ribosomal RNA", at positions 2810 to 2925 of the family's 2925-position model. The record is from RNAcentral. Lineage: Bacteria; Pseudomonadati; Pseudomonadota; Gammaproteobacteria; Enterobacterales; Enterobacteriaceae. RNAcentral also lists the same sequence under 5 other names.